Molecule: ribosomal RNA, 255 nt
Filed under: Tosia australis
Lineage: Eukaryota; Metazoa; Echinodermata; Asteroidea; Valvatida; Goniasteridae
Description: partial 28S ribosomal RNA
Rfam family: Eukaryotic large subunit ribosomal RNA
Source: RNAcentral
GGGUGCACCCCGCGCCCGCGGGAACUGUGGCGUAAGGAAGUCCGACUCUGCGGUCGCGCGGGCGCCGAGGUCCUUCUGAUCGAGGCCUCCUCCGUCCCAGGGCGGGUGUCAGGCCCCUGCGGGCGCCGGCCGGCCGCGGACCAGGGCUUCCGGGAGUCGGGUUGUUUUGUAGCGCAGCCCAAAGACGGGUGGUAAACUCCAUCCAAGGCUAAAUACCAGCACGAGACCGAUAGAGCACAAGUACCGUGAGGGAAA